UCUCUCUUUCUCCCUCAUUUCUUCACUCUCUCGACCGACACCCUAAGCGGGAGAAGGAGGCGGCGCCUCCUCGUCGCCCGUCGCUAGGAGCUCCGGUCGGCGCUUCUCUUGCGUCGCCGGAGAUUUUGAUGCCCCUCCCUCACAACCCUCGGUCUCAAACUCAUCUUAGAAAAAAAUCCCCAAUUUCAAAACCCUAGCCUCAUCUCAAAAACUCUCGCUUCGUCUCCACCGCCUUCCGAAUCCGACGUCGACGCCGGCCGUGAACUCAGCGAGGCGGAGCUGUCGUCGCGGCUCCGUGAGGCGCUCUCAAUUUGAGUCGCGGCGGAGCCCUCGGCAUCUCCGUCGCGCCCUCCCGUUCCAUCGUCGUUUCAUCUUUCACCGGCGGGGUCGCCGACAGGAAAGAGGCGUCGCCUCUCUUCCUCCCUGCUUCCGGCGUUCUCCUGGCCUUUUUCCGACGAAUCCUCCAUCACCGCCAUCGCGGAUCGCCGCUGUUGCCUCUCAUCCUUUCACGGCAUCUAAGCGCCGUCACUGCCAUCUACGGCUGAAGCUGACGCCGUUCGGCUUGCUGUGUAGACCAGCGCCGCCGCCACCGGUCGGCCUUGAAGCUAAGUUCUUCUCCCCCCCCUUUUUUUUUGUCUAAGCUUGGUCUAUCUAGUUUGAGUUUGGGCAGCAGCUAUGAUAAAUUGUUGUUGAUUUUCUCUUCGGAUAGAGCUCAUUUAAUUGUUGGGCUGGGUUCAUGAACUACUAUGUGUGAAAGCUGUAGGGAGAUAGUUAUGAUUUGCUAUUAUUCUUGGUCUAUGAAACAGACUAUGGUUUGCUUGCACUAUUUGUUAUGAAGCUGAACUUAAUGUGGUUAUACUUGUGCCCCUAAGUCCUUAUAUUAUGUGGUGUUUGAUCUAAACGUGAUGCAAGAUAAGGUGUUGGGGUGUGGAGGUGAUUACCUCUUGAUGUAGUGAGGCUGCCCUUGUUGCUGCUUGAGAUUGGCUCCUAAGGCACCAAGCUUUCUACUCUCUCUAAACUUUGCUGAUUAUUAUGAGAAGUGUGGGAGGGAGUUCGAAUGUGGUGUGGGGAGGAUUUUUAUAGGCUGAUUGUGAACUUGUAAGCCUUAAAUGAGGCUGCUGAAACUCUUGUCUCUAUCCAGCAGCAUAUCCCCCCCCUCCUUGAUCUUUUGCAGCAAACUUUAACUGACAUUUUGAUGGUAUACUAAGGUAUAUUGCUGCCACAAUCCUUUUUGUUGAUUCUCCACCACCCUUUUUAUUUAAUUUAGCUUGGUGUUGUGUCUAGCAUAAGUACUCUUGCAUUAAUACACUUUGUUUGACCUCCUUGCAGGUACAGCGAGAGGAAUGCAGGGCUGUUGGGAGCAGGGGAGUUCAGGCUGACUUUGCUUCCUUUGGCAAGUCUUUUGGUCUACUCUAACAAAGGAGAAAGAGACACUUGGCUGCCACCCAACUGUCCCGGGAGGUAGGCUCGCUGCCUUGGCUCACCGGCUGACCGGGUGGGGUCGCGGUGAUGUGCGGCUUGGGCUCGGAAAAGAAGAGGCCCAACGUGUAGUAAAAGAGUCGGCCUUAGCUCUUAGCCUUUUAGCCCAUACUUGUAAAAUUGUGUACUAGCAUUCCCAUUUCCUUUUUCUUAAAUUCUUACUUCCCAUGUGUUUCACUAUGUAAGCUAGAGUGUGUUUGAUAGUAGUUGCAUUUUCUUAGCUAGAAAACGAACUCUUCAUCUUUUUUUUUCUCGUUAGUUAUGGCUCGUAAAUAGUAAUGGAGUAGUUUUAGUUCA
Salvia hispanica is the source of this 1776-nucleotide long non-coding RNA. RefSeq lists it as uncharacterized. The record is from RefSeq and is a predicted model, not a curated record. Lineage: Eukaryota; Viridiplantae; Streptophyta; Magnoliopsida; Lamiales; Lamiaceae.